CUUUUUUUUUUUUUUUUUUUUUUUUCUUCUUCUUCUUUCUUCCUUCUACUGAUCUCUCUCUUGAUGGCCGCCGGCAGGGGCAGGUGGUUGGGGGUCGCGCAGACCAGUCGAGUCCACUCCCAAAACUCACCUCUUAACUCAUUACACCCUCUCUUCCUCACCUCCAUUCUCACAUUUCUCCAAUGGCGGCCAGAAAACUUGCUGGAUUUCUGGUACUGGCUUUGGUGAUUACGCUCAUCGAUCUGCUGCUUCUCAGCUUUUCACUCCCGUCGAUGGCUCCUUUCCCAGGGUUAGGGUUUUUUUUGUUAAGAAGAAGAAGAAGAAGAGAGAGAGAGAUCAGUAGAAGGAAGAAAGAAGA
Molecule: long non-coding RNA, 358 nt
Organism: Cannabis sativa
Lineage: Eukaryota; Viridiplantae; Streptophyta; Magnoliopsida; Rosales; Cannabaceae
Exons: 3
Source: RefSeq, a predicted model, not a curated record